UUUGUUUAUACAACAUAGAAUAAUAUAUAUCUUUGUUUAAUCCAUGUCAAUAUAUAUAUUAUUUUUUAUAUUAUUUGAAUGUUUUAUUCAAAUAAUAUAAACAUUUAAAAAAUAAAUUCAAGAUUUAAAGUAUAAAAUAAAAACCCUGGCAAUAAC
RNAcentral lists this unclassified non-coding RNA (156 nucleotides) under Borreliella afzelii. Its description in RNAcentral is "partial 5S-23S ribosomal RNA intergenic spacer". Lineage: Bacteria; Pseudomonadati; Spirochaetota; Spirochaetia; Spirochaetales; Borreliaceae. The record is from RNAcentral.